CGAACGGAGAUUAUACGCAGAGGCGAUUUCGGUCAAAUCAUGUAAAAUCUUAGUGGCGGACGGGUGAGUAACGCGUGGGUAACCUGCCUUACACUGGGGGAUAACACUUAGAAAUAGGUGCUAAUACCGCAUAAGCGCACGAAGCCGCAUGGAUUUGUGUGAAAAACUCCGGUGGUGUAAGAUGGACCCGCGUCUGAUUAGCUUGUUGGCGGGGUAACGGCCCACCAAGGCGACGAUCAGUAGCCGGCCUGAGAGGGUGGACGGCCACAUUGGGACUGAGACACGGCCCAAACUCCUACGGGAGGCAGCAGUGGGGGAUAUUGGACAAUGGGGGGAACCCUGAUCCAGCGACGCCGCGUGAGUGAAGAAGUAUUUCGGUAUGUAAAGCUCUGUCAGCAGGGAAGAAAGAAAUGGCGGUACCUGACCAAGAAGCCCCGGCUAACUACGUGCCAGCAGCCGCGGUAAUACGUAGGGGGCAAGCGUUAUCCGGAAUUACUGGGUGUAAAGGGAGCGUAGACGGUUAAGUAAGUCUGGAGUGAAAGGCCGGGGCCCAACCCCGGGACUGCUCUGGAAACUAUUCAACUUGAGUGCAGGAGAGGUAAGCGGAAUUCCUAGUGUAGCGGUGAAAUGCGUAGAUAUUAGGAGGAACACCAGUGGCGAAGGCGGCUUACUGGACUGUAACUGACGUUG
This 690-nucleotide ribosomal RNA is filed under the name uncultured bacterium. Its description in RNAcentral is "bacterial SSU rRNA". It matches the Rfam family "Bacterial small subunit ribosomal RNA", at positions 63 to 748 of the family's 1533-position model. The record is from RNAcentral.